RNAcentral lists this small nuclear RNA (83 nucleotides) under Chinchilla lanigera (long-tailed chinchilla). RNAcentral's name for it is "U4 spliceosomal RNA (ENSCLAG00000020633.1)". It matches the Rfam family "U4 spliceosomal RNA", at positions 1 to 82 of the family's 138-position model. Rfam says of the family: U4 small nuclear RNA (U4 snRNA) is a component of the major U2-dependent spliceosome. The structure of U4 snRNA from yeast and human has been reported. Lineage: Eukaryota; Metazoa; Chordata; Mammalia; Rodentia; Chinchillidae. The record is from RNAcentral.
AGCUUUGCACAGUGGCAAUAUCAUAGCCAAUGAGGUUUAUCUGAGGUGUGAUUUUUGCUAAUUUAACACUUUUCCCAACAUUG